UACGGGGGGGGGCAAGCGUUGUUCGGAAUUACUGGGCGUAAAGGGCGCGUAGGCGGCUCGCUAAGUCGGAUGUGAAAACUCUGGGCUCAACCCAGAGCCUGCAUUCGAAACUGACGAGCUCGAGUUCUGGAGGGGAAAGCGGAAUUCCUGGUGUAGCGGUGAAAUGCGUAGAUAUCUGGAGGAACACCGGUGGCGAAGGCGGCAUCCUGGACCGACACUGACGCUGAGGAGCGAAAGCCAGGGGAGCAAACAGG
This 254-nucleotide ribosomal RNA is filed under the name uncultured bacterium. RNAcentral describes it as "partial 16S ribosomal RNA". It matches the Rfam family "Bacterial small subunit ribosomal RNA", at positions 524 to 776 of the family's 1533-position model. The record is from RNAcentral.